GGGCUCUUAGCUCAGUUGGUUAGAGCGCUACCUUGACAUGGUAGAGGCCACAGGUUCGAAUCCUGUAGAGCCCA
This 74-nucleotide transfer RNA is filed under the name Ignavibacteriota bacterium. RNAcentral's name for it is "Ignavibacteriae bacterium tRNA-Val". It matches the Rfam family "tRNA". Rfam says of the family: Transfer RNA (tRNA) molecules are approximately 80 nucleotides in length. Their secondary structure includes four short double-helical elements and three loops (D, anti-codon, and T loops). Further hydrogen bonds mediate the characteristic L-shaped molecular structure. tRNAs have two regions of fundamental functional importance: the anti-codon, which is responsible for specific mRNA codon recognition, and the 3' end, to which the tRNAs corresponding amino acid is attached (by aminoacyl-tRNA synthetases). tRNAs cope with the degeneracy of the genetic code in two manners: having more than one tRNA (with a specific anti-codon) for a particular amino acid; and 'wobble' base-pairing, i.e. permitting non-standard base-pairing at the 3rd anti-codon position. The record is from RNAcentral. Lineage: Bacteria; Pseudomonadati; Ignavibacteriota.